AGAGUUUGAUCCUGGCUCAGGACGAACGCUGGCGGCGUGCUUAACACAUGCAAGUCGAACGGUAAGGCCCUUCGGGGUACACGAGUGGCGAACGGGUGAGUAACACGUGGGUGAUCUGCCCUGCACUUCGGGAUAAGCCCGGGAAACUGGGUCUAAUACCGGAUAGUACUGCGCGGUGCAUGCCGUGUGGUGGAAAGAUUUAUCGGUGCAGGAUGGGCCCGCGGCCUAUCAGCUUGUUGGUGGGGUAAUGGCCUACCAAGGCGACGACGGGUAGCCGGCCUGAGAGGGCGACCGGCCACACUGGGACUGAGACACGGCCCAGACUCCUACGGGAGGCAGCAGUGGGGAAUAUUGCACAAUGGGCGCAAGCCUGAUGCAGCGACGCCGCGUGAGGGAUGACGGCCUUCGGGUUGUAAACCUCUUUCAGCAGGGACGAAGCGCAAGUGACGGUACCUGCAGAAGAAGCACCGGCCAACUACGUG
Molecule: ribosomal RNA, 482 nt
Filed under: uncultured Rhodococcus sp.
Lineage: Bacteria; Bacillati; Actinomycetota; Actinomycetes; Mycobacteriales; Nocardiaceae
Description: bacterial SSU rRNA
Rfam family: Bacterial small subunit ribosomal RNA
Source: RNAcentral